AUUGAACGCUGGCGGCAGGCCUAACACAUGCAAGUCGAGCGGAGCGGCGGACGGGCGAGUAAUGCCUAGGAGUGUGCCUGGUAGUGGGGGAGAACGUCCGGAAAGGGACGCUAAUACAUCACGCUAUCAGAUGAGCCUAGGUCGGAUUAGCUAGUUGGUGGGGUAAAGGCCUACCGAGGCGACGAUCCGUAACUGGUCUGAGAGGAGGAUCAGUCACACUGGAACUGAGACACGGUCCAGACUCCUACGGGAGGCAGCAGUGGGGAAUAUUGGACAAUGGGCGAAAGCCUGAUCCAGCCAUGCCGCGUGUGUGAAGAAGGUCUUCGGGUUGUAAAGCACUUUAAGUUGGGAGGCGUUACCAACAGAAUAAGCACCGGCUAACUCCGUGCCAGCAGCCGCGGUAAUAC
RNAcentral lists this ribosomal RNA (407 nucleotides) under uncultured bacterium. RNAcentral's name for it is "partial 16S ribosomal RNA". It matches the Rfam family "Bacterial small subunit ribosomal RNA", at positions 30 to 526 of the family's 1533-position model. The record is from RNAcentral.